RNAcentral lists this unclassified non-coding RNA (260 nucleotides) under Ascomycota sp. RNAcentral describes it as "partial contains small subunit ribosomal RNA, internal transcribed spacer 1, and 5.8S ribosomal RNA". The stretch from base 1 to 47 matches the Rfam family "Eukaryotic small subunit ribosomal RNA", at positions 1785 to 1831 of the family's 1831-position model. Lineage: Eukaryota; Fungi; Ascomycota. The record is from RNAcentral.
AAAGUCGUAACAAGGUUUCCGUAGGUGAACCUGCGGAAGGAUCAUUAAAAAAUGUACGCCUAAGUGGCGCUGAAAAGUGUCACUUAGUGCUGUAUAUAACCACCUGUUUACCUUUACCUGUUGCUUCCGUGGAGUAUGAGUGCCCUAACUGAAUAAGUCUGGGUUACUUUCCACGGGUGUAUUUAAAAAAUUGUCUUGCUGAAUUGUCUGAUAAAAAAUUUAAUAAGUUAAAACUUUCAACAACGGAUCUCUAGGUUCUC